This 542-nucleotide long non-coding RNA is filed under the name Zostera marina. RNAcentral describes it as "long non-coding RNA (ZMAR_LNC001856)". Lineage: Eukaryota; Viridiplantae; Streptophyta; Magnoliopsida; Alismatales; Zosteraceae. The record is from RNAcentral.
GAUGGUAAGGUUUCCUCGACGGUAAGUUUCACCGGUGGUAAGUUCCCCCAAGUAUUUUUCGCCAAUUUCUCCCAUAUUGCGCUGCUCUUAAUUUUCUUUGAUCUGUCAUCCCUCCCCCAUCUUCUUCCGCUUUUUUUGUCCUUUUUCCCCUCCCUUUUUCAGAGCUAUCAACCUUAAACCCUUUCCCCAAACACUCCGAGACACUGGCGGUACAGGAAGGGGGGUCCAAGGUUGACUGCUCGGAAGAUGUUUUUCUGAUGGGGAGUUUUUCACUUGUCGAGGAGUAGACAGUUGUUUGUUUUUCUGGAGGUUUUCAUUGGUUGAUGCAUUUCAUCGAACAGCUGGUGUGCAAGUUAUAAUGGCAUACAUACCGAGACAGAUUUCAGAUUCUUCCAUGGCAACCGUGGGUGAUGUGGAGGUAUAGCAGUGAUGGCGAGCCUGUGAUCCCAAAAACGAGUCGAAAGACUUUCUGCAAGUGGAUAUAUAAUCUAAUAGAAAAUGAUUGGUGGCAAGUUGUCAAGUGGCAAAACCAACUCCGCUUG